Molecule: ribosomal RNA, 498 nt
Filed under: uncultured bacterium
Lineage: Bacteria
Description: partial 16S ribosomal RNA
Rfam family: Bacterial small subunit ribosomal RNA
Source: RNAcentral
AGCGAACGCCGGCGGCGUGCCUAACACAUGCAAGUCGAACGUGAAAAGGGAAACCUGAGUUACGUGGCCUACGGGUGAGUAACGCGUAGGUAAUCUACCCCAGUAUGUGGCAUAACCUGCCGAAAGGCGGGCUAAUACUGGAUAGAGCGUGGGACCUCGUAAGAGUGUUUUUCGGGAAAGGGAGCCUGCAAAGGCCCUCGUUCUGCGAUACGCCUGCGUCUCAUUAGCUAGUUGGUAAGGUAACGGCUUACCAAGGCGAUGAUGAGUAGCUGGUCUGAGAGGAUGAUCAGCCACACUGGGACUGAGACACGGUCCAGACUCCUACGGGAGGCAGCAGUAGGGAAUCUUGCGCAAUGGACGAAAGUCUGACGCAGCAACGCCGCGUGAGUGAAGAAGGCUUUCGGGUUGUAAAGCUCUGUCGGAUGGGACGAACAGCUGCAUAGUGAAUAGCUAUGAGGUGUGACGGUACCAUAAAAGGAAGCACCGGCUAACUCCGUG